RNAcentral lists this ribosomal RNA (253 nucleotides) under uncultured bacterium. RNAcentral describes it as "partial 16S ribosomal RNA". It matches the Rfam family "Bacterial small subunit ribosomal RNA", at positions 524 to 776 of the family's 1533-position model. The record is from RNAcentral.
UACGUAGGAUGCAAGCGUUGUCCGGAAUUAUUGGGCGUAAAGCGAACGUAGGCGGCCAGACAGGUCCGUUGUGAAAACUCGAGGCUCAACCUCGAGACGCCGAUGGAAACCGUCUGGCUAGAGUCCGGAAGAGGAGAGUGGAAUUCCCGGUGUAGCGGUGAAAUGCGCAGAUAUCGGGAAGAACACCCGUGGCUAAGGCGGCUCUCUAGUACGGUACUGACGCUGAGACGCGAAAGCGUGGGGAGCGAACAGG